RNAcentral lists this ribosomal RNA (397 nucleotides) under uncultured bacterium. Its description in RNAcentral is "bacterial SSU rRNA". It matches the Rfam family "Bacterial small subunit ribosomal RNA", at positions 42 to 454 of the family's 1533-position model. The record is from RNAcentral.
UCAGGCCUAACACAUGCAAGUCGAGCGGGGUUUUCGGACCUAGCGGCGGACGGGUGAGUAAUGCGUAGGAAGCUACCCGACAGAGGGGGAUACCAGUUGGAAACGACUGUUAAUACCGCAUAAUGUCUACGGACCAAAGUGUGGGACCUUCGGGCCACAUGCUGUCGGAUGCGCCUACGUGGGAUUAGCUAGUUGGUGAGGUAAUGGCUCACCAAGGCGACGAUCCCUAGCUGGUUUGAGAGGAUGAUCAGCCACACUGGAACUGAGACACGGUCCAGACUCCUACGGGAGGCAGCAGUGGGGAAUAUUGGACAAUGGGCGCAAGCCUGAUCCAGAAGUGCCGCGUGUGUGAAGAAGGCCUUCGGGUUUAAAUAAAUGUCAGCGAGGAGGAAGGGUU